GUUCAUGACUGGGGUGAAGUCGUAACAAGGUAGCCCUAGGGGAACCUGGGGCUGGAUCACCUCCUUAUACGAUGAU
RNAcentral lists this ribosomal RNA (76 nucleotides) under Vibrio penaeicida. RNAcentral's name for it is "partial 16S ribosomal RNA". The stretch from base 1 to 67 matches the Rfam family "Bacterial small subunit ribosomal RNA", at positions 1467 to 1533 of the family's 1533-position model. The record is from RNAcentral. Lineage: Bacteria; Pseudomonadati; Pseudomonadota; Gammaproteobacteria; Vibrionales; Vibrionaceae.